AACGAACGCUGGCGGCAUGCCUAACACAUGCAAGUCGAACGAGACCUUCGGGUCUAGUGGCGCACGGGUGCGUAACGCGUGGGAACCUGCCUUUAGGUUCGGAAUAACUCAGAGGAAUUUGAGCUAAUACCGGAUGAUGUCUUCGGACCAAAGAUUUAUCGCCUUUAGAUAGGCCCGCGUUGGAUUAGCUAGUUGGUGGGGUAAAGGCCUACCAAGGCGACGAUCCAUAGCUGGUCUGAGAGGAUGAUCAGCCACACUGGGACUGAGACACGGCCCAGACUCCUACGGGAGGCAGCAGUGGGGAAUAUUGGACAAUGGGCGAAAGCCUGAUCCAGCAAUGCCGCGUGAGUGAUGAAGGACUUAGGGUUGUAAAGCUCUUUUACCCGAGAUGAUAAUGACAGUAUCGGGAGAAUAAGCUCCGGCUAACUCCGUG
This 433-nucleotide ribosomal RNA is filed under the name uncultured bacterium. RNAcentral's name for it is "partial 16S ribosomal RNA". It matches the Rfam family "Bacterial small subunit ribosomal RNA", at positions 29 to 507 of the family's 1533-position model. The record is from RNAcentral.